GGGAUGGGAAAUGGUAUUGGAAGGGAGUUGCCACGCACGGUGAAGUUACCGCGCGCAGGGAGCGAGGACGCGUGGCAGUUAGCGGUGUCGCGACGAUGCGGGUUCGUCCGGACGGGUAAUGAAUUUUUUUGGAUGAACUUUUUUUUGCCAGAGGCGUUGGUUUCUCUAGGGGAACAUGCGUGUCAGGAUGUUAUAGGAAACGCUCUGGGCCCACAGUUAACACUUAAAUUGCAUGCUUUAGAUGUACAUCCACGGGAGAAGAUCUAAGGUGGGUAAGAUGUUUUUGGGUGAUAGGUAUUUUUCAAUUCCUUCACUUCUCUAUGUAUAGAUUAGUCUAUGCUUCAUAUUUCUGCAACUACCCCUUUUGCCCCACGUUUAUGGAUGUGUGUCCGUGUUCUGGUUGGGAAUGUGAUGUGUGUUGCAGGCCAAUCGUUACCCACUACUAGAGAACAGACUUUUGAUCCUUACUUUUAGUCCCGCUCUAAAUUGAGCCCAGGAGUAAUAGAGAUUUAGUUCCAGUUGGAACCACCGAUUAGGACUAGAAUCUCCUGUCCAACGAAUAGUGCAACAGACUUUUGUAGCAGGG
Molecule: long non-coding RNA, 586 nt
Filed under: Sorghum bicolor (sorghum)
Lineage: Eukaryota; Viridiplantae; Streptophyta; Magnoliopsida; Poales; Poaceae
Description: long non-coding RNA (SBIC_LNC009679)
Source: RNAcentral